AUGGCCUCCUGCCAACCCCGUGUAUAGGAGGUCUCGCCUGCCCAGUGACAUGCUUUAACGGCCGCGGUAUUCUAACCGUGCGAAGGUAGCGCAAUCACUUGUCUCUUAAAUGGAGACCUGUAUGAAUGGUAGAACGAGGGCUUAACUGUCUCCCCUGUCAAGUCAAUGAAAUUGAUCUGCCCGUGCAGAAGCGGACAUAAUACCACAAGACGAGAAGACCCUUUGGAGCUUUAGUUACAAGAUGAACUAUGUCAAGACUAAUAAAUAAAAUCAAACUAAAUACCAACUCAUCUUAAUCUUUUGUUGGGGCGACCACGGGAGAAAAGAAAGCUCCCAUGAGGACUGGGCCCACCCCAGAGCCAAGAAAGACACUUCCAAGACACAGAACAUCUGACCUUAAAGAUCCGGCACACCGCCGACCAACGGACCAAGUUACCCUAGGGAUAACAGCGCAAUCCCCUUCCAGAGUUCAUAUCGACAAGGGGGUUUACGACCUCGAUGUUGGAUCAGGACAUCCUAAUGGUGCAGCCGCUAUUAAGGGUUCGUUUGUUCAACGAUUAAAGUCCUACGUGA
RNAcentral lists this ribosomal RNA (573 nucleotides) under Gladioglanis machadoi. RNAcentral describes it as "partial 16S ribosomal RNA". It matches the Rfam family "Bacterial large subunit ribosomal RNA", at positions 1815 to 2603 of the family's 2925-position model. The record is from RNAcentral. Lineage: Eukaryota; Metazoa; Chordata; Actinopteri; Siluriformes; Heptapteridae.